UUAAGGUAUGUCCUAUAUCAAAUUCUUUAUAUUAUUAGUAUGAAUUCCCAACACUACCUGUCACUCAUUUUCUUGAGUUUUUAAAAAUGAAUAUUCUUCAGAAGUGGUUUUAUGAGUGCCAAACCGAGGCAGCCAAAAUGAAUACACAUUUAACAGAUUAGGCAGACAAGUUGGUGCGAGAAAAUAACAAGCAAGGAUCAUCAUUCCAAGUAUCACCUAUCGCAACUUACUCAUUUCAUGUAUACUAUGGAUCUCGUAUUGAAGUUGUGAAUUUAGAGGAAAAGAGUUGCACUUGUCGGCAAUUUGAUCUUGACCAACUACCUUGCUCACAUGCUUGUGCUGUAUGUAGACACCGACAAAUUUCAUGUUAUCCUAUGUGUUCCCAUUAUUAUACUACAAAUUCUCUGGUCAUUGUGUAUGCAUAAGUUAUAUGGCCAACCGGUGAUGUGGAGAAGAAAAAUCAACUCGAAAGUGUUCAAAAUGUGGUUCAAAUGGCCAUUAUAAACAAACUUGUAGGAAUCCCAUUCCACUUCAUCCUACUUUGUAGAACUUUUAUUAAAUUUAGAUGUAGUGAAUAAAUAUUUUCUUUUGAUCA
Pyrus x bretschneideri (Chinese white pear) is the source of this 595-nucleotide long non-coding RNA. RefSeq lists it as uncharacterized. The transcript is spliced from 2 exons. NCBI's taxonomy places the organism in Eukaryota, Viridiplantae, Streptophyta, Magnoliopsida, Rosales, Rosaceae. The record is from RefSeq and is a predicted model, not a curated record.